AACGAACGCUGGCGGCAUGCCUAACACAUGCAAGUCGAACGAGACCUUCGGGUCUAGUGGCGCACGGGUGCGUAACGCGUGGGAACCUGCCCUUAGGUUCGGAAUAACUCCCCGAAAGGGGUGCUAAUACCGGAUAAUGUCUUCGGACCAAAGAUUUAUCGCCUUUGGAUGGGCCCGCGUUGGAUUAGCUAGUUGGUAGUGUAAAAGCCUACCAAGGCGACGAUCCAUAGCUGGUCAGAGAGGAUGAUCAGCCACACUGGGACUGAGACACGGCCCAGACUCCUACGGGAGGCAGCAGUGGGGAAUAUUGGACAAUGGGCGAAAGCCUGAUCCAGCAAUGCCGCGUGAGUGAUGAAGGCCUUAGGGUUGUAAAGCUCUUUUACCCGGGAUGAUAAUGACAGUACCGGGAGAAUAAGCUCCGGCUAACUCCGUG
This 433-nucleotide ribosomal RNA is filed under the name uncultured bacterium. Its description in RNAcentral is "partial 16S ribosomal RNA". It matches the Rfam family "Bacterial small subunit ribosomal RNA", at positions 29 to 507 of the family's 1533-position model. The record is from RNAcentral.